GACGAACGCUGGCGGCGUGCUUAACACAUGCAAGUCGAACGGAAAGGCCCUGCUUUUGUGGGGUGCUCGAGUGGCGAACGGGUGAGUAACACGUGAGUAACCUGCCCUUGACUUUGGGAUAACUUCAGGAAACUGGGGCUAAUACCGGAUAGGAGCUCCUGCUGCAUGGUGUGGGUUGGAAAGUUUCGGCGGUUGGGGAUGGACUCGCGGCUUAUCAGCUUGUUGGUGGGGUAGUGGCUUACCAAGGCGUUGACGGGUAGCCGGCCUGAGAGGGUGACCGGCCACAUUGGGACUGAGAUACGGCCCAGACUCCUACGGGAGGCAGCAGUGGGGAAUAUUGCACAAUGGGCGGAAGCCUGAUGCAGCAACGCCGCGUGCGGGAUGACGGCCUUCGGGUUGUAAACCGCUUUCGCCUGUGACGAAGCGUGAGUGACGGUAAUGGGUAAAGAAGCACCGGCUAACUACGUG
RNAcentral lists this ribosomal RNA (468 nucleotides) under uncultured bacterium. RNAcentral's name for it is "partial 16S ribosomal RNA". It matches the Rfam family "Bacterial small subunit ribosomal RNA", at positions 28 to 507 of the family's 1533-position model. The record is from RNAcentral.